This 317-nucleotide ribosomal RNA is filed under the name uncultured bacterium. RNAcentral's name for it is "bacterial SSU rRNA". It matches the Rfam family "Bacterial small subunit ribosomal RNA", at positions 29 to 335 of the family's 1533-position model. The record is from RNAcentral.
AACGAACGCUGGCGGCGCGCCUAAUACAUGCAAGUCGAGCGAGAAGACGUAGCAAUUACGUUUGUAAAGCGGCGAACGGGUGAGGAAUACAUGGGUAACCUACCCUCGAGUGGGGAAUAACUAGCCGAAAGGUUAGCUAAUACCGCGUACGCUCCUUGGACUUCGGUUCGAGGGAGGAAAGCGAUACCGUGGGUAUCGCGCUCUUGGAUGGGCUCAUGUCCUAUCAGCUUGUUGGGAGGUAACGGCUCACCAAGGCUUCGACGGGUAGCUGGUCUGAGAGGACGAUCAGCCACACUGGCACUGCGACACGGGCCAGA